This 457-nucleotide ribosomal RNA is filed under the name Cortinarius sp. PDD 107384. RNAcentral describes it as "partial large subunit ribosomal RNA". It matches the Rfam family "Eukaryotic large subunit ribosomal RNA", at positions 107 to 563 of the family's 3401-position model. The record is from RNAcentral. Lineage: Eukaryota; Fungi; Basidiomycota; Agaricomycetes; Agaricales; Cortinariaceae.
GCUCAAAUUUAAAAUCUGGCGGUCUUUGACUGUCCGAGUUGUAAUCUAGAGAAGUGUUAUCCGCGCUGGACCGUGUACAAGUCUCCUGGAAUGGAGCGUCAUAGAGGGUGAGAAUCCCGUCUUUGACACGGACUGCCAGGGCUUUUGUGAUGCGCUCUCAAAGAGUCGAGUUGUUUGGGAAUGCAGCUCAAAAUGGGUGGUAAAUUCCAUCUAAAGCUAAAUAUUGGCGAGAGACCGAUAGCGAACAAGUACCGUGAGGGAAAGAUGAAAAGAACUUUGGAAAGAGAGUUAAACAGUACGUGAAAUUGCUGAAAGGGAAACGCUUGAAGUCAGUCACGUUGUCCAGGGAUCAACCUUGCUUUUGCUUGGCGCACUUUCUGGUUGACGGGUCAGCAUCAAUUUUGACUAUUGGAAAAAGAUUAGGGGAAUGUGGCAUCCUCGGAUGUGUUAUAGCCCU